Molecule: long non-coding RNA, 297 nt
Organism: Glossina fuscipes
Lineage: Eukaryota; Metazoa; Arthropoda; Insecta; Diptera; Glossinidae
Exons: 5
Source: RefSeq, a predicted model, not a curated record
GAAAAAAGCCGGGAUUUUAUAAAUGGAAUCAUGGAAAAUUACCAAAGUAUUUGACUGCGCUAGUGGAAAAACGAAUUAUAGCGACUCGGAAGCACAAAGCUGAGGAACAGUCAAAAGCAUUAGCACUCAAAGAAAUAAGUGCAUCACCUGUUCAAGAUGUGACACCUAUUCGAGCAUUAGCACUCAAAGAAAUAACUGCAUCACCUGUUCAAGAUGUGACACCUAUUCGAGAGUCAAAAUGGACGACCGUUCCACUUCCACAAGGCAAGUGCGGUCUUGUCGCAUCAAAACACUUUU